Long non-coding RNA from Ixodes scapularis (black-legged tick), 287 nucleotides. RefSeq lists it as uncharacterized. Lineage: Eukaryota; Metazoa; Arthropoda; Arachnida; Ixodida; Ixodidae. The record is from RefSeq and is a predicted model, not a curated record. The transcript is spliced from 3 exons.
ACAACAGUGACAACAGAAAUCACAGAGGAGUUUCGUAACAGUCUGCCUGCUUCUCCUGUAAUUGUUGCACUGGGCCGCUCACUUUUCGAAUGCAGCUGCCAGCUGUUUGUGGACCGUGAGGUGAUGGUGGAAGAUGUGGGCUUUCUGCAAGCUGUGGAGCUCCUUUUCGCCCUUUAUUAUUGUUUAAACAUCCAGUAUGCCAAAGGUGCGGGAACCACACUUGAGUUCAUUCAGAGAUACCAAGUUGGUAUCAAACAACAUGAUGGGUCACGACAGGAGGCCGGGAG